Molecule: ribosomal RNA, 336 nt
Filed under: uncultured bacterium
Lineage: Bacteria
Description: partial 16S ribosomal RNA
Rfam family: Bacterial small subunit ribosomal RNA
Source: RNAcentral
CCUACGGGUGGCAGCAGUAGGGAAUCUUCGACAAUGGGCGAAAGCCUGAAGGAGCAACGCCGCGUGGGUGAAGAAGGUCCUCGGAUCGUAAAACCCCGUUGGUAGAGAAGCAAGUGCGUGAGAGUAACUGUUCACGUUUCGACGGUAUCUAACCAGAAAGCCACGGCUAACUACGUGCCCCCAGCUGCGGGAAAACGUAGGUGGCAAGCGUUAGCCGGAUUUAUUGGGCGUAAAUGGAACGCAGGCGGUCGUUUAAGUCUGAUGGGAAAGCCUUCGGCUUAACCCGAGUAGUGCAUUGGAAACUGGGAGACUGGAGUGCAGAAGAGGAGAGUGGAA